This 76-nucleotide transfer RNA is filed under the name Nocardioides daphniae. Its description in RNAcentral is "tRNA-Glu". It matches the Rfam family "tRNA". From Rfam's summary of the family: Transfer RNA (tRNA) molecules are approximately 80 nucleotides in length. Their secondary structure includes four short double-helical elements and three loops (D, anti-codon, and T loops). The record is from RNAcentral. RNAcentral also lists the same sequence under 1 other name. Lineage: Bacteria; Bacillati; Actinomycetota; Actinomycetes; Propionibacteriales; Nocardioidaceae.
GCCCCGGUCGUCUAGCGGCCUAGGACGUCGCCCUCUCACGGCGGUAGCGUGGGUUCAAAUCCCAUCCGGGGUACAA